This 670-nucleotide long non-coding RNA is filed under the name Triticum aestivum (bread wheat). Its description in RNAcentral is "long non-coding RNA (TAES_LNC024286)". The record is from RNAcentral. Lineage: Eukaryota; Viridiplantae; Streptophyta; Magnoliopsida; Poales; Poaceae.
AAAGAGGCACCACAAAGAGCAUGUUUAAUUCUAGUAUAAGUGAUCCGAAAGGGAAUUGUGUAGACAGUUGAGGGACCAAAAAAUAUUUAUCUCAUUUCAUUGUCAUUAGCUCAUUAGAAAAACAAUAAUGUGUCAAUUUGUUAUGAAAUUGUCGUUAGUAUAUUUUCCAAAAAAAAACAAUUUAGUCCAGAUUGAGCUAUGAAAAUUAGGAGAUAAGAACAAAUAGCUUAUUGAUUGUACCGUCCAAACAAGGUGUCGGAUGCAGCUACCGAAACAUUCAGAACACAGGUCCAGGUUGAUUCUACUAGCCACCUCUAAGAGGUUUAUAAGUACACCAUAGGUGCUGAUACAUCAUCUCAACGCCAGGAGAAGGAGGUUCCUCUUCUGGAAAGUACUUUGGCAGAACGGAAUGCACAUUAACUGGACACCACUAGGUGGAAAUUGGUGAACAAUGGGCAAGGUUUUUUGAUAGUAGUGCUAGGGUUAAUGAGGUGCAUAGAUGAUAGGUCAUCGAACUACGAUGACACGCGCAUUCUCUUUACAUCGUUCUCGGGCACACUCGCAUCCGCACCAUUGCCACGUGCGCUGACAUCGCCUGGUUUUGCAACCUACAGAUUAACACGGUUCAAUCUUUAGUGACAGUCCUAUGGUAUGUAAAAGAACUUCAUAU